GGCAUUCAGUUGUUGAAAAAACUUUGAUCGAUCAUGAACAGUUUCCUGUCGCGUCUAUUGUUUUACGUGUUUGUCAUUUUGGUGUUCGGUGCAAGCAUCAAUAUCAUUGAUAUCGUUGCAGCAUGCAAGAGACGAAGUGACUGCGGAGGCUGUAAAUGUCGUGCAGGCGUUUGCGUCUGCAAUGGCUAAAAAUGACACCUCAAAAAAAUCUCGAUGAUCCAGAAAAUUCAACAAGUCUGACAUCUUUCGUCUGAUUAUAAAUAAUUUACAAAGAAAGUUUGUUAACUUUUUUUAAUAUUGUAUAAAAACGAAUUUUGUAAAACUA
This is a long non-coding RNA of Trichogramma pretiosum, 325 nucleotides long. RefSeq lists it as uncharacterized. The record is from RefSeq and is a predicted model, not a curated record. The transcript is spliced from 2 exons. NCBI's taxonomy places the organism in Eukaryota, Metazoa, Arthropoda, Insecta, Hymenoptera, Trichogrammatidae.